CCUACGGGAGGCAGCAGUGGGGAAUUUUGGACAAUGGGCGCAAGCCUGAUCCAGCAAUGCCGCGUGAGUGAAGAAGGCCUUCGGGUUGUAAAGCUCUGUCAAGUGGGAAAAAAGCUUACUGGUAAAUAGCCAGCAAGACUGAUGGUACCAUUGAAGGAAGCACCGGCUAACUCCGUGCCAGCAGCCGCGGUAAUACGGAGGGUGCAAGCGUUGUUCGGAAUUACUGGGCGUAAAGGGCGUGUAGGCGGUGUGGUAAGUCUGAUGUGAAAGCCCCCGGCUCAACCGGGGAGGGUCAUUGGAAACUGGGGAACUUGAGUGCAGAAGAGGAGAGCGGAAUUCCACGUGUAGCGGUGAAAUGCGUAGAGAUGUGGAGGAACACCAGUGGCGAAGGCGGCUCUCUGGUCUGUAACUGACGCUGAGGCGCGAAAGCGUGGGGAGCGAACAGGAUUAGAUACCCUGGUAGUCCACGCCGUAAACGAUGAGUGCUAAGUGUUAGAGGGUUUCCGCCCUUUAGUGCUGCAGCAAACGCAUUAAGCACUCCGCCUGGGGAGUACGGCCGCAAGGCUGAAACUCAAAGGAAUUGACGG
RNAcentral lists this ribosomal RNA (587 nucleotides) under uncultured bacterium. Its description in RNAcentral is "bacterial SSU rRNA". It matches the Rfam family "Bacterial small subunit ribosomal RNA", at positions 338 to 916 of the family's 1533-position model. The record is from RNAcentral.